RNAcentral lists this ribosomal RNA (275 nucleotides) under uncultured bacterium. RNAcentral describes it as "partial 16S ribosomal RNA". It matches the Rfam family "Bacterial small subunit ribosomal RNA", at positions 338 to 610 of the family's 1533-position model. The record is from RNAcentral.
CCUACGGGUGGCUGCAGUAAGGAAUAUUGGACAAUGCCCGCAAGGGUGAUCCAGCCAUGCCGCGUGCAGGAAGACGGCCCUAUGGGUUGUAAACUGCUUUUACACCGGAGAAAACCCCCCUUCGUGAAGGGGGCUGAUAGUAUGGUGAGAAUAAGCAUCGGCUAACUUCGUGCCAGCAGCCGCGGUAAGACGAAGGAUGCAAGCGUUAUCCGGAUUCAUUGGGUUUAAAGGGAGCGUAGGUGGCCAAAUAAGUCAGUGGUGAAAUCUCUCAGCUU